UAUUAUUAAUUUAUUAUUUAUAAUUAAAUAAUAAUAAUUAUUAUUAUUUAUUAAUAAAUAUUAAUAUUAAUUAUUAUUAAUAAUUAGAUAAUCAAUAUUAUUAUUAAUUUAUUAUUUAUAAUUAAUUAAUAAGAAUAAUUAAUUAUUAUUAUUAUUUAUUAAUAAUUAAUAAUAAUAAUUAUUAUUAUUAAUUAGAUCAUCCAUAUUAUUAAUUUAUUAUUUAUAAUUAAUUAUUAAUAAUUAAUUUUUUAUUUAUUUUUAAGUAAUAUUUUUAUUACUAUUAAUUACAUAAUAUAAUUUUAAUUUCAAAUUAUAACUCUUAUUCCUCUUGUUCCAAUCUAACCAUCCAAACACUAUUUACCUUAUUCCUAGGAACAACCCAAUUUUCAUCCAAACGCAAAAUUGGUCUAAUUCCUGCUUAUACCUGAACUUGUACCUAUCCCUAGAACUAGCAGUUCUUACUUAUACCCGAAUCAAACGCAGCCUUAGUGUUUUUAAAAACACCAUAGCCGAACUUAUAUAUACAUAUGU
This 531-nucleotide long non-coding RNA is filed under the name Ananas comosus (pineapple). RNAcentral's name for it is "long non-coding RNA (ACOM_LNC008233)". The record is from RNAcentral. Lineage: Eukaryota; Viridiplantae; Streptophyta; Magnoliopsida; Poales; Bromeliaceae.